Molecule: transfer RNA, 79 nt
Filed under: Bacillus phage vB_BanS_MrDarsey
Lineage: Duplodnaviria; Heunggongvirae; Uroviricota; Caudoviricetes
Description: tRNA-Glu
Rfam family: tRNA
About the family: Transfer RNA (tRNA) molecules are approximately 80 nucleotides in length. Their secondary structure includes four short double-helical elements and three loops (D, anti-codon, and T loops).
Source: RNAcentral
UGCUCUGUUGGACAAAUUGGUCAAGUCGCUACCCUUUCAAGGUAGAGAAUGCGAGUUCGAAUCUCGUACAGAGUAUCAU